RNAcentral lists this ribosomal RNA (484 nucleotides) under uncultured bacterium. RNAcentral's name for it is "partial 16S ribosomal RNA". It matches the Rfam family "Bacterial small subunit ribosomal RNA", at positions 29 to 507 of the family's 1533-position model. The record is from RNAcentral.
AUUGAACGCUGGCGGCAUGCUUUACACAUGCAAGUCGAACGGCAGCGCGGGCUUCGGCCUGGCGGCGAGUGGCGAACGGGUGAGUAAUACAUCGGAACGUGCCCAGUAGUGGGGGAUAGCUCGGCGAAAGCCGGAUUAAUACCGCAUACGACCUGAGGGUGAAAGCGGGGGAUCUUCGGACCUCGCGCUAAUGGAGCGGCCGAUGGCAGAUUAGCUAGUUGGUGGGGUAAAGGCCUACCAAGGCGACGAUCUGUAGCUGGUCUGAGAGGACGACCAGCCACACUGGGACUGAGGCACGGCCCAGACUCCUACGGGAGGCAGCAGUGGGGAAUUUUGGACAAUGGGCGAAAGCCUGAUCCAGCAAUGCCGCGUGUGUGAUGAAGGCCUUCGGGUUGUAAAGCACUUUUGGCGGGAACGAAAAGGACUGUGCCAAUACCACGGUUCGAUGACGGUACCCGCAGAAUAAGCACCGGCUAACUACGUG